Molecule: ribosomal RNA, 1030 nt
Filed under: Balamuthia mandrillaris
Lineage: Eukaryota; Discosea; Longamoebia; Balamuthiidae
Description: SSU rRNA
Rfam family: Bacterial small subunit ribosomal RNA
Source: RNAcentral
UAAACGUUGUAAAGUACUAAGCUCGGGGAUAAUAAUGACGGUACCCGAGUAAAAAGCCCUGACUAACUUCGUGCCAGCAGUCGCGGUAAAACGGAGAGGGCAAGUGUUAUUCGUAUUGACUGGGUGUAAAGGGUACGUAGGCGGUUAUUUAAGUUAUAAAAAAAAGCUAUAUCUUUUUAUAAUACUAUAUGACUAGAGUUAAAAAGGGGAUGGCGGUACCUCCAGUUUAGAAGUGACAUUCGUUUGAGAUUGGGGGGACCAACAAUAGGCGACGGCUGCUUUCCAUUUUUAUACUGACGCUGAGGUACGAAAGCAUGGGGAGCGAACAGGAUUAGAGACCCUGGUAGUCCAUGCCCUGACCUAUGAAUAUUAAUCGUCCAUUUAGAUAGUGGAUGACUAAGCUAACGCGAAAAUAUUCCACCUGAGGACUACGGCCGCAAGGUUAAAACUCAAAGAAAUUGGCGGAAGAUCGUUUAAGCGGUGGAGUAUGUGGUUUAAUUCGAUAAUACGCGAAAAACCUUACCAAUCUUUGUGCACAUUUUCGGUUAUACAAAACUCGUAGUCUGGAUUGAGGUGGUCAAUUUGGACUAAUUAUGUGCCAGGCGUUGCAUGGCUGUCGUAAGCUCGUGUCUUAGGAUGUGUGGUUAACUCCAUGAACGGGCGCAACCCUUGUUCCUAAUUAGAUUAGGAAUGAAAACAGUGAAAACUGCUUUUGAGGAUGAGGAGUAUGUCAAGUCAAUAUGACCUUUAUAGAUUGGGCUACACACGUACUACAACGGUAGUUACAAUGAGAAACAAUGCCGUGAGGCGGAGUAAAUCUCUAAAAUCUACCCUAGUUCGGAUUAUUUUUUGAAAUAAAAAUAUGAAGCCGGAAUCGCUAGUAAUCGCAAAAAAGAAUGUUGCGGUGAAUAUUAAGACCGAUCUUAGUACACACCGCCCGUCACGCCAUGGAAGCUUGUUUGGUUUGAAGAUAUUAAGUCACAUGUUUCGAAGUGAUUAUUCCUUAAUAAGUUCAUGUUAUGUGUGUUAC